RNAcentral lists this non-coding RNA (26 nucleotides) under Mus musculus (house mouse). Lineage: Eukaryota; Metazoa; Chordata; Mammalia; Rodentia; Muridae. The record is from RNAcentral.
UCUUCAGCUGGGAACGGUGGUAAUGU